UACGGAGGGGGCUAGCGUUGUUCGGAAUUACUGGGCGUAAAGGGCUCGUAGGCGGCCUGCUAAGUCGAACGUGAAAUCCCCGAGCUCAACUCGGGAACUGCGUCCGAUACUGGUUGGCUUGAAUCCGGGAGAGGGAUGCGGAAUUCCAGGUGUAGCGGUGAAAUGCGUAGAUAUCAAGAGGAACACCUGAGGUGAAGACGGGUUGCUGGGCCAACACUGACGCUGAGGCGCGAAAGCCAGGGGAGCAAACGGG
Molecule: ribosomal RNA, 253 nt
Filed under: uncultured prokaryote
Description: partial 16S ribosomal RNA
Rfam family: Bacterial small subunit ribosomal RNA
Source: RNAcentral